This 777-nucleotide long non-coding RNA is filed under the name Equus asinus (donkey). Its description in RNAcentral is "lncRNA (ENSEASG00005038807.1)". Lineage: Eukaryota; Metazoa; Chordata; Mammalia; Perissodactyla; Equidae. The record is from RNAcentral.
GGUUGAAGUGUUUUUAUGAGAGCUAAUUAGUUGUUCCAACCAGCUCUAUGAGGCUCAGGGAGAUUUAGGAGAUUGCUGCAGGCCUUUACACUAGCAAGUGGUGGAGCUGCUCUUCAAGCCCAGGUUUCCCAGCUCCAAGGCUAAGUGUGUUCCAGGCGCCACCCUUGAUCUCUCGCAAUCUUAGCGUGCUCACCUUCCCAACGAGGCUCCGGUGUCGGUGGUAAGAAUGUUCAUCUCUUUCUAUCUUCAAGGUGGAAUGAGGAUUAAACCAGGUCCUUCAUGAAGAAGUGCAUCAUCGCUCAUUUCAUACACCUGGAAAGAGGGUGAAUCCUGACAGCCGAGUUCAUAGUGCAUGGCGUCUCCUUCUUUUCAUGGCUGCUUGGGAAACAGGUGAACUUAAGCAGGAUGGAGCAAAUCGUCACUCCCAGAAAUGUGGAAUUGGAAUGAAUGGAUACCAGUUAGUCAGUUUUAUGGAUCCUUUGAAGUGAGGACAGUCAAACUCUGGGGACGUGGCUCCCGUGUUUGGACAUAAAAACAUGAAGCAGAAAUUAGAGAAGAAAAGAGCAAGGACAAAGCAAGCCGAGGGAUGAGAAACCGCGCGGUGCUGGAGGAACAGAGCUAGGCAGGCAGCGAGAGCGGCCGCCUGGUUUCUUAACUGCUUUUUACUUGCCGUCUCCAGACACACAAGCAGCCCAGCCCCCACUUUAAUUCCUGCCCUGGAUCCAAUGAGACACUCUGGGAGUCUUUCCAAUAAAUUCCUGUUUUUACUUAAGUUAA